This 501-nucleotide ribosomal RNA is filed under the name uncultured bacterium. RNAcentral's name for it is "partial 16S ribosomal RNA". It matches the Rfam family "Bacterial small subunit ribosomal RNA", at positions 29 to 507 of the family's 1533-position model. The record is from RNAcentral.
ACGCACGCUGGCGGCGUGCUUAACACCUGCCAGUCGAACGGUGAAGGGGUCUGCUUUUGUGGGCCCUGGAUGAGUGGCGAACGGGUGAGUAACACGUGAGUAACCUGCCCCCUUCUUCUGGAUAACCGCAUGAAAGUGUGGCUAAUACGGGAUAUUCUGGGUCUGUCGCAUGAUGGGUCUGGGAAAGAUUGCGCCUUUGGGUGUUGUUGGUGGGGGAUGGGCUCGCGGCCUAUCAGCUUGUUGGUGGGGUGAUGGCCUACCAAGGCGGUGACGGGUAGCCGGCCUGAGAGGGUGGACGGUCACACUGGGACUGAGACACGGCCCAGACUCCUACGGGAGGCAGCAGUGGGGAAUAUUGCACAAGGGGCGCAAGCCUGAUGCAGCGACGCCGCGUGAGGGAUGGAGGCCUUCGGGUUGUAAACCUCUUUCGCCAGUGAAGCAGGCCUGCUCCUUGUGGGUGGGUUGACGGUAGCUGGAUAAGAAGCGCCGGCUAACUACGUG